UCGAGAAUCUUCCGCAAUGGGCGAAAGCCUGACGGAGCGACACCGCGUACAGGAUGAAGGCCUUCGGGUUGUAAACUGUUGUCACGCUAUAGGAACCACGGAAUGUGAACAGCAUUCCGCCUGACUAAAGCGAGAGGAAGCACCGGCUAACUCUGUGCCAGCAGCCGCGGUAAGACAGAGGGUGCAAACGUUGUUCGGAAUCACUGGGCAUAAAGCGCACGUAGGCCGUCCGCUAAGUUUCGUGUGAAAUCCCCGGCUCAACCGGGGAACUGCACGGGAUACUGGCGGACUCGAGGAUGGUAGGGGUGAGUGGAACUCCAGGUGGAGCGGUGAAAUGCGUAGAUAUCUGGAGGAACACCGGUGGCGAAAGCGGCUCACUGGACCGUUACUGACGCUGAGGUGCGAAAGCUAGGGGAGCAAA
Molecule: ribosomal RNA, 421 nt
Filed under: uncultured bacterium
Lineage: Bacteria
Description: bacterial SSU rRNA
Rfam family: Bacterial small subunit ribosomal RNA
Source: RNAcentral